CCCCUCUCAGGGACACACCUGGAGAGUAACCAGUUCUCCACCAGUUUCGACUAAAAGAGGGAGAGUCAGGCAGAGGCAUAUCCAUUCCAUUCCUAGCUCAGGCAGUGGCUAGCGAGUGGAAGGCAACCUGCUACAAGU
Molecule: small nucleolar RNA, 138 nt
Organism: Tachyglossus aculeatus (Australian echidna)
Lineage: Eukaryota; Metazoa; Chordata; Mammalia; Monotremata; Tachyglossidae
Source: RefSeq, a predicted model, not a curated record